CAAAUUAUAGCUUAUAAAAGUUUUUUAUUUACAUUAAAAAGUUAAUUGUGUAAAUCAAUUUAAUUUGA
Molecule: transfer RNA, 68 nt
Filed under: Staphylinoidea sp. 1 KM-2017
Lineage: Eukaryota; Metazoa; Arthropoda; Insecta; Coleoptera
Description: tRNA-Val
Source: RNAcentral